UACAGAGGGUGCGAGCGUUAAUCGGAAUUACUGGGCGUAAAGUGUGCGCAGGUGGCCGCGCAAGUCGAGUGUGAAAUCCCCGAGCUUAACUUGGGAAUUGCGCUCGAAACUACGUGGCUCGAGUGUGGCAGAGGAAGGUGGAAUUCCACGUGUAGCGGUGAAAUGCGUAGAUAUCGGAAGGAACAUCAGUGGCGAAAGCGACUUCCUGGACCAGUACCGACGUUCAGGCACGAAAGCGUGGGGAGCAAACAGG
RNAcentral lists this ribosomal RNA (253 nucleotides) under uncultured bacterium. RNAcentral's name for it is "partial 16S ribosomal RNA". It matches the Rfam family "Bacterial small subunit ribosomal RNA", at positions 524 to 776 of the family's 1533-position model. The record is from RNAcentral.